AGUGAACGCUGGCGGUAGGCCUAACACAUGCCAGUCGAACGGCAGCACAGUAAGAGCUUGCUCUUACGGGUGGCGAGUGGCGGACGGGUGAGGAAUACAUCGGAAUCUACUUUUUCGUGGGGGAUAACGUAGGGAAACUUACGCUAAUACCGCAUACGACCUACGGGUGAAAGCAGGGGAUCUUCGGACCUUGCGCGAUUGAAUGAGCCGAUGUCGGAUUAGCUAGUUGGCGGGGUAGGGCCCACCAAGGCGACGAUCCGUAGCUGGUCUGAGAGGAUGAUCAGCCACACUGGAACUGAGACACGGUCCAGACUCCUACGGGAGGCAGCAGUGGGGAAUAUUGGACAAUGGGCGCAAGCCUGAUCCAGCCAUACCGCGUGGGUGAAGAAGGCCUUCGGGUUGUAAAGCCCUUUUGUUGGGAAAGAAAAGCAGCAGGUUAAUACCCCGCUGUUCUGACGGUACCCAAAGAAUAAGCACCGGCUAACUUCGUG
RNAcentral lists this ribosomal RNA (491 nucleotides) under uncultured bacterium. Its description in RNAcentral is "partial 16S ribosomal RNA". It matches the Rfam family "Bacterial small subunit ribosomal RNA", at positions 29 to 507 of the family's 1533-position model. The record is from RNAcentral.